AACGAACGCUGGCGGCAUGCCUAACACAUGCAAGUCGAACGAGACCUUCGGGUCUAGUGGCGCACGGGUGCGUAACGCGUGGGAACCCGCCCUUAGGUUCGGAAUAACUCCCCGAAAGGGGUGCUAAUACCGGAUAAUGUCUUCGGACCAAAGAUUUAUCGCCUUUGGAUGGGCCCGCGUUGGAUUAGCUAGUUGGUAGGGUAAAAGCCUACCAAGGCGACGAUCCAUAGCUGGUCUGAGAGGAUGAUCAGCCACACUGGGACUGAGACACGGCCCAGACCCCUACGGGGGGACGGGGGGGUGAAGACGGGACACGGGGAGCAAGACAGAGCGAGCAAGGCCGCGAGAGUGUGAAAGGGCGGAGGUUUGAAAAGCGCUGUGACGCGGGAAGAAAAUGACCGUACUGGGAGAAGAAGCGCCGGAAAACUCCGUGCCAGCAGAGGAGAAAAUAAGCGGAAGAGCCCAACACUGAAC
RNAcentral lists this ribosomal RNA (474 nucleotides) under uncultured bacterium. RNAcentral describes it as "partial 16S ribosomal RNA". It matches the Rfam family "Bacterial small subunit ribosomal RNA", at positions 37 to 537 of the family's 1533-position model. The record is from RNAcentral.